GAUGAACGCUAGCGGCAGGCCUAAUACAUGCAAGUCGAGGGGCAGCGCGGUAGCAAUACUGGCGGCGACCGGCGCACGGGUGCGUAACACGUAUGCAACCUACCUUCAACUGGAGGAUAGCCCGGGGAAACUCGGAUUAAUACUCCAUAACACAGGGAUCCCGCAUGGGAAUAUUGUUAAAGCUACGGCGGUUGAAGAUGGGCAUGCGUUCGAUUAGCUAGUUGGUGUAGGUAACGGCUCACCAAGGCUACGAUCGAUAGGGGGUCUGAGAGGAUGAUCCCCACACUGGUACUGAGAUACGGACCAGACUCCUACGGGAGGCAGCAGUAGGGAAUAUUGGUCAAUGGGCGCAAGCCUGAACCAGCCAUGCCGCGUGCAGGAAGAAGGCCCUACGGGGUUGUAAACUGCUUUUAUACGGGAAUAAAUCUCGCUACGUGUAGUGAGUUGAAUGUACUGUAAGAAUAAGGAUCGGCUAACUCCGUGCCAGCAGCCGCGGUAAU
RNAcentral lists this ribosomal RNA (500 nucleotides) under uncultured bacterium. RNAcentral's name for it is "bacterial SSU rRNA". It matches the Rfam family "Bacterial small subunit ribosomal RNA", at positions 28 to 524 of the family's 1533-position model. The record is from RNAcentral.